GCACUGCUGAGGAGUCCCAUACUAGGACGAAACGGCGGUCCAGUGC
Non-coding RNA from Schistosoma mattheei, 46 nucleotides. Lineage: Eukaryota; Metazoa; Platyhelminthes; Trematoda; Strigeidida; Schistosomatidae. The record is from Rfam.